GAUGAACGCUGGCGGCGUGCCUAAUACAUGCAAGUCGAGCGAACAGACGAGGAGCUUGCUCCUCUGACGUUAGCGGCGGACGGGUGAGUAACACGUGGAUAACCUACCUACAAGACUGGGAUAACUUCGGGAAACCGGAGCUAAUACCGGAUAAUAUAUUGAACCGCAUGGUUCAAUAGUGAAAGACGGUUUUGCUGUCACUUAUAGAUGGAUCCGCGCCGCAUUAGCUAGUUGGUAAGGUAACGGCUUACCAAGGCGACGAUGCGUAGCCGACCUGAGAGGGUGAUCGGCCACACUGGAACUGAGACACGGUCCAGACUCCUACGGGAGGCAGCGGUAGGGAAUCUUCCGCAAUGGGCGAAAGCCUGACGGAGCAACGCCGCGUGAGUGAUGAAGGUCUUCGGAUCGUAAAACUCUGUUAUUAGGGAAGAACAAAUGUGUAAGUAACUAUGCACGUCUUGACGGUACCUAAUCAGAAAGCCACGGCUAACUACGUG
This 497-nucleotide ribosomal RNA is filed under the name uncultured bacterium. Its description in RNAcentral is "partial 16S ribosomal RNA". It matches the Rfam family "Bacterial small subunit ribosomal RNA", at positions 28 to 507 of the family's 1533-position model. The record is from RNAcentral.